GACGAAGGGGGCUAGCGUUGUUCGGAAUUACUGGGCGUAAAGGGCGCGUAGGCGGCGUGACAAGUCACUUGUGAAAUCUCCGGGCUUAACUCGGAACGGUCAAGUGAUACUGUCGUGCUAGAGUACAGAAGGGGCAACUGGAAUUCUCGGUGUAGCGGUGAAAUGCGUAGAUAUCGAGAGGAACACCUGCGGCGAAGGCGGGUUGCUGGGCUGAUACUGACGCUGAGGCGCGAAAGCCAGGGGAGCGAACGGG
RNAcentral lists this ribosomal RNA (253 nucleotides) under uncultured bacterium. RNAcentral describes it as "partial 16S ribosomal RNA". It matches the Rfam family "Bacterial small subunit ribosomal RNA", at positions 524 to 776 of the family's 1533-position model. The record is from RNAcentral.